AAGCUCCUUAAAUUCAAUAAUGUCUCUUUUUUUUUUUUCUCUUAGUACCUCAGCUGUUGAAAACUAAGUUCACUUAUGUCAUCAUGGGCUGAAAAGCUAAGUGCCUGGUUUCUUCCUGUGUUCAGCUGCCAGUACAGAGAUGUGCAGAGCAAAACUCAGACUACCUCUAAGGCACUGGAGGGUAAGAAGGAGAUCAAGAUGCAAAACAACCAGCAUGUAGCUGAGGUGAGAAGGAGUAACAUAUACCCUGUCAUCUACAUGUCUGCAAGCAGUUCUCCAUGGCAUUACAUUCCUUGCAGUGCCUGCAGUCAAGGGCACAUUAGAAAUGACAUGCUGAGCUCACAUGAGAAGAACAACGCCUGAAUUUACUGGAAAUGUUGCAUAAAGGGUGAGUGAAGUCACUGAAAACAAAUUGCUGUUCCCAUCCUAAAUAAGCUUGGGCUGGAAUAGGGUCCUCUGGGUUGUGACCAGAUUUAGCCUUCACAGCCAGUUUUUUCCACUGAAACUAAGUACAUUCUCUAGGGAAGCAAAUUGUAUAUGAGAAUUUUUGGGGAGAGGAGUGAUAGAAGGAUCUAAUGCAAUCAAAAUUAUACCAAAAGCCAUUAAAAAGUUGCUGUUUUUGAGUUGUUUCAGAAGAUCGCUUUAUCAUUUAUUGACUCUCUUAUCACUACAACAGUUUUAUGUUAUUCUGAUUCAACUAUGUUAAAAGUUAUGUGAAUGACACAUAUAUCAGUCUGUAAUUCAAACACAUGGUGUUA
This 758-nucleotide long non-coding RNA is filed under the name Numida meleagris (helmeted guineafowl). RNAcentral describes it as "lncRNA (ENSNMEG00000008639.1)". Lineage: Eukaryota; Metazoa; Chordata; Aves; Galliformes; Numididae. The record is from RNAcentral.